AAGAAAACCCUCCGCUCGAUUAUACAAUUCCCUAAUAACGAAUUCGGUGUCAUCCGGUUGGGGUAAAAAACCGGGUUGAAAUCCGAAACGGGCAACGGAAAGUGAACCGCGAAGAAAGCGUUUGGUGGAGGGUGGGAAGGUGUGGGAGUGAGGUCGAAGUNNNNNNNNNNAGAGAGUAUAGUUGGUGUGCAAGAUAACAGAGCCGCCAUUAGUUGCACGUACAGUACAUACAAUUGCGGUGAGGUGAUAGAGUUGCAACAGUGAUUUUUGCCAAUUUGAAAAUCCUAACAUUGUGAGUUGAAAUUUAGUUAAGUGUAGUUAAUUUUUUUAAUUUAAUAUGCAAGAGUUAAGUUUACUACUCUCUGCGUCCUGAAAUAUAGGCAAAAAAAACUUUUUUUUGAUGUCCCAAAAUAUAAGCAAAAGACAUCAUUUUUAAUGAUAAAGUUACAAUAUUACCCUUAGUAAUACUACUACUCCAAUUCAUUACUUGUAGAGUUUCCCAAUAAACUCUUGAGUUUCUUAAAAAAAAAUAAUAAAAAAAGAAUUGUUGUAUCCCAAUUUAAUCUGGCGUGCAUACUGCAUAGUAGCAACUGUCCAACUUUUUGGUUUUUUGGCUUCUAUCAUCAUAAAGUAAAAGUAAGCUUCUUUUUCCAUUACCAAGGAAGUGACAUUUACUUGGACAGUUGGUUUUAUUUUCAUUAUGAUAAGGGUAGUUUAGGCAACUCAAUUGCUUAUUUUGGUAAAAUUUAGAGUUUCUUAAUAAGCGUGAUUUUUUUUUGCCUAUAUUUCGGGACAGAUGGAGUAUGUACCGGGCCAUGGACCAGGGUGUGAUUUGUUAAGGCCCAAUACGAAAAAGCCCAAUGGGAGCAUCUAAAGGAGAAGCAUGAAAACAACCAUGAAAAACACAUGAUAAGCAUGAUCCACCAUGACUUGGAGAAGAAGGAAGAAACUUGGAGAAGAAGGAAGAAGCUUGGAGAAGAAGGAAAAUAAACCACCCACUACACAUGACUUCCUCUCCAAGCAAGGCAGUUACUUAAGAAACAACAGGAGAUUUUUUGCCUAUAAAUAGGGUCUGUUUCAAGAGAAGAGGGGAAGGAUUUUUCACUGAUUCUACAGAGGCUCUCAUUCUGAGAAACCACCAUACUUUCAUUCUUGUAAAGACACAAUUCUUUCAAUCUUGUAAAGAGAAAAUAUUUUUCCUCUAAUCAUACUUNNNNNNNNNNNNNNNNNNNNNNNNNNNAAUACACACCCCCUAUGUUUUUUACCAGAACACUAAUCGUCUUAAAUCAUAUGAAACAAUUCUCGUAGACAUUUCCACUUACAAUAAAGUUGACUCCAUGACUUGGCACAGUCAAGAGUUCUAAAAUGUUGUGAUUCUGAGAGAUGCUAAUUAACUCAUAAUAGAUGAUUAAUUGAAAAUAGUCGUAAUCUUUGUACAAAAAAAAAAAGAAAAAUAGUCACAAUCUCUCUUUGUAGAUACAUAUCAUCACUUAUCAUAAACGAGUGGUGAAGAAAUAAUUCUCUUUAUAGUCAUUUGAUCAAGGAAUCAAAGGCUAAAACGGAAUGACGCGUGGAAGUAACGAUGCAGGUGCGCGUAGGGGAUCGAGGCCUAUCCUUAUGCACCAUGCAUAAGGAAAUGCCUUAUGUACCAUAACUUUUGCCGGAGUAGUACUUACUGAGCAAAAUUGUAGAACUAGUUCAAAACCUAAGGAAAAAAAUGAAAAAAAUUGUAGAACUAGUUAUUGAAUGCAAAGUUUUUUUUUUUUGGCACAAUUGAAUGCAAAAGUUGGAAAAUACUUUCAUGUUUAUAAUUUUUUUUUUUUUGUUGAUAAUUUCAUGUUUAUAAAUUUUAAUGAACCAAGUUUUUCUUUUUAAUAAAUGACACCUAGCGCUAUUUAUUGGGCCGGCCCAAACCUCACCAAACUAAAAUUAAGACUUUGGACCUUUAAAAAAACUUAAUAAAGAAAAAGAAAAAAAAAAUUAAUAACAUGGUUUAUUUAUUUAUUUAUUUUUUACCAAAAUGGUUUAUGUAUGUUAGAAAUUUAUUUAUAGUCAUUUUUUUUAUAGAUAUUUAUAGUCCUUUUUAACUCAUUGGCAAAAUGUAAGCCUUUGAGUUUGUGCUCCAUCUCCAUGACUCAAAUCUUUUUAUUGAAGCACCAUGACUCAAAUCUUAGACUAUGCCAUAAUUUCUUACAAUCACAAAAAUAUUUAUACAACAAUUUCGAUUUAAAUCACAAAAAUUAACACAUCUUUUAGAGAUAACUUAUUAUGCAAUGAUAGUAUAAAUUUCUACACAUUCAAUUCAACUGCAUCAAAAUACUAUUUUUAUAGGUUAAUUAUUAAAAUAUCUCCUCAAAUACAUGGUGCGGUAUAAUUAAAUUUGGUUCCCUUUUGACUCCACUAUUAAAAUAUCUCCUCAUAGUAUAAUAUUGUGUUGGAGUCAAAAGGGAACCAAAUGAAUGUAUGAUAUCAAUCACAUUCGUGGAGUAAUGAUGAUAAGUUAAAAUGUGAUAUUCAAUUCAGUCUUACAUAUUGUUACUCUCAACUUAAUACGGAUAAUCGCCGAACAUUUCAUGUAACUCAAACAGUGCACCCCUAAGCACAUUUGUGGCUCUGCCACUACUUUAAUCGAUUACUUCAUCGUUGUUAUUGAUAUGAUACAUUAUACAUGAUAGAUCAAUGUCUUUUGUCUCCUCUUAGCAAAAAAAAAAGUCUUCGGUCUAUCACGUUGGAAUCGAAUUCUUCAAAGGAAUGAACAAUCAAAGAAUAAGUAGAUAAAAUUCUUCAAAUUCGUACAAAACAUAAAAACAAUCUAACACUAACUCCUCCUCUCAAACAAAUCAAAAUAAUUAACGCAUACACUUAAUUUAAUAUCGGAGGUAGUAUAUAUAAAUAUUGAUUUUUAAGUGUGAUCGUGAGCAUAACUCAGUUAGUAGUGACAUUAUAUGUAAUAUAUGAUACACUCACUUAUUUAUCUUUAAAAAGUGAAAUUUUAACUACUAGAUUACUUGACAAAAAAUAUUGAUUUUGAAGUACAAUUACAAUUAGUUGAAUUGAUCAAUAAAUAUAUAUGAUAUCAUUUACUUAUCGUGCGUUUGAUAUGUGAUCGUGCCUGAUCAGAAUAUGCGACCAUACCGGUGUUGAGUUCUCGGUGACCCCUGUUGAAGUGGAGGGGGGUUGUGUACUUGCAAGCACUCCGACGCUCAAGUCAGUUUAAGUGUGGAGUGUGGUUUUCUGUGCUAAAAUGAUAUGUACCUCUUGAAUGGUAUGAGAUCACGUAUAUAUAGCCCCCAGCGCUGGGCCAAGGCUCUUGAUGACAUUANNNNNNNNNNNNNNNNNNNNNNNNNNNNNNNNNNNNNNNNNNNNNNNNNNNNNNNNNNNNNNNNNNNNNNNNNNNNNNNNNNNNNNNNNNNNNNNNNNNNNNNNNNNNNNNNNNNNNNNNNNNNNNNNNNNNNNNNNNNNNNNNNNNNNNNNNNNNNNNNNNNNNNNNNNNNNNNAAGGAAGAAGCUUGGAGAAGAAGGAAAAUAAACCACCCACUACCCAUGACUUCCUCUCCAAGCAAGGCAGUUACUUAAGAAACAAGAGGAGAUUUUUUGCCUAUAAAUAGGGUCUGUUUCAAGAGAAGAGGAGAAGGAUUUUUCACUGAUUCUACAGAGGCUCAUUCGGAGAAACCACCAUACUUUCAUUCUUGUAAAGAGACAAUUCUUUCAUUCUUGUAAAGUUAAUCAAUUUUUUCAUACUUGUAUCCCUUAUCAAUCUUGAAUAAUACAAACCCCCUAUGUUCUAAUCUGAAUCUGACUUAUAAAACUCUCAGGGUUGUUGGGAUUGAACCAAGUGUAAUCACACCAUUUAAUCAAUAAUACAACCCCCUUUGAGUUUUUACCAGAACAGAGUAUAUUAUCCUUUGAAAUUUAAUAUGCAAGAGUUAAGUUUACUAUAUUAUCAUUUGAAAAGUGAUUUAUGCCUUGAAAAUCACAUAAACUUUUGAAAAGUAAAAUGAUUAAAUGAUGGUAUAUUAAAAAUAGUAGUAUUAAUUAGUUUAAAAGUAAUUGACUUUUUUUUAUAUUUGUGUCCAAAAUUUGAAGUGUUUUUUUUCUUAUAUUUGUGUCCGAAGAGAGUAAAUUUUUAUAGAAUUUUUUUGAAAAUUUGUAAAAUCAAUGCAUCAUAAAUAUACAUAUAUGAUUAACCUAACAUUAGAAAUGUAACUAUAUUUUAGACACUGAUGCUUUGUUCGACAAAAAUAGCGGAAGACUGAUAAGUUAACUUAUAGCUGAUGACUUAUAGUUUAUAGCUUAUAAUUUAUAGAUGGCUGAUGACUUAUGGAUAAACUAAUUGAAGUGUUUGCUGAAAUUGGUGGUUCAAUUAACUAGCGAUAAUGACCACCAUAGUAGUGGAUAGGCCCUAUAUUAGUGUUAGCCACCUUUUUCAAAAGAAUUUCCAAGUCUUCCUGUUGCCCAAUUCCUGAUGCUUCAACUCCCGUUUUUUCACAAGCAUCUACACCCGCUCUAUCUCUUCAUGUUGUUUGCUUCCUACUACACGUAAAAUGAUAUAAAAAGACAUUCUAUAUAAUAAAAGCUAUCGUAAAAAUAUCAUUAUAAAAUCAAUAUCUAAUUAAUAUUUAAGAUACUUCAAAUUUAGUUAUUUAAAUUUAUUAAUUUAAUAUAUAUUUUAUAUAUUAAGAUACUUCAAAUUUAGUUAUUUAAAUUUAUUAAUUUAAUAUAUAUUAUAUAUUAUUAAAUUUUAUUCUUUACAAUUUUUUUAAAUAUAUUUUCAUACGGUCAUGUUUAUUACAUUAUAUGAAUCUUUGUUAGAAAAGUUUAAAUUUUUUUAACAAAAGAUGAAUUAAAUAUGAAUUUUUUAGCUUUUUGACAUAAAAAUUCAUAAAUAAUUCAUUCAUGUUAAAAAAUUCAAAAAAUUUAUUGGAGAUGUUCUUAUAAAAUUAUUAACAUGAAUACAAAAAAUCAUUUAAAAAUGUGAAAAAACUUUAGGGAGUAAAAUGUGUGGAAAAAAAUUGUAGGGACUAAAAUGAAAAUUUCGGAAAACUAUAGGGACAAAAAAUAUAUUAAACCUUAAAGAAAAAAACGGUGAUAAUAUAGGGAGGGGUACAACAACGUUUCAGAAAUAAUUUAGGGAGGGGUACAACGUACGCCGUCAAAGGGGCUGGCCAUGUCGAGGGCCCAGGACAUAUAAAGGGGCCGACCCGGUUUGACCUGUUAAACUUCAUGGUCCGGCAUGCCUAGCAAGGCCCCAUAAGCAAAGGGCUACAUGGUCCGAUGAACCGGUCCGAAAACAUAAAGUCUCAAUACAAAGGUAAAACGACACCAUUUGAAAACUCUUGAAAUUACUUUGAAAUUAAUGUGUUCACUUUAUCAAACUAGGAUUGUUACUUUGCACUGAAUUAUUUGAGCUUAUAUAUUUGCUAAAUUUUGCCAAAAAAGAAAAUAGCUUGUAAAAACAGCUUUUACCAUAUACAAAUAGCUUAUGUAAACUUAUACACAAACACUUAUCAUAAUAAGCAUUUAUGCUAUAAGCUGCAAAUAAGUUGUUUAUCCCAUAGAGGGGUAACUUGUCUUUGCAUAAAAAAUUAGAGUUUGGACACACUUGUAAGUGAGCAACCAAAUAUAUCAUGAAAAAAGCUAUAUAGCCCACUGUAAAAUCAUGUUACAUGCCUAUACUUUUGAGGGCAGACAAACGCAUAAUGGAAGUUCUCCAAUUAUGACAGUGUUCCAGUCAUAGCAUAUAACUUGGCCAGAGUUUAUUGAUCCAUGAUACUGUAGUAAUACAAACUCAAACUACGAUGCUGCAUAUCGGACAUCAAAUCUAUAACAACCCAACCCCUCCUCCUCCUCGGCAAUUGUAGAAACCUCGAAUCUCGUUCAUUCCAUCAUCAUUUAUGUAGAAAUUUACUACAGUGAUAACCAAAGACCUCAAAUUGCACGAGACGUCACAUUUCAAAGUUCUAACAUAGCCUAUAGAAGCCAACUGGGCCGGUCAAUUUUACAGCAUAUUUCCAACUCUUCUAAUUUGGUCAAUCCUUUGGCACGUCACCUGGGUCUUCUCCAGUAGUUGUUAUUGUUAAUACUAACCUGUCACCAGUGGCCCCUCUAUUGUAAAUUUUUCAACUUUUCUAGUUUCUUCAACUUUUGUGGUAUUUAGUUUAGAUACUGACNNNNNNNNNNNNNNNNNNNNNNNNNNNNNNNNNNNNNNNNNNNNNNNNNNNNNNNNNNNNNNNNNNNNNNNNNNNNNNNNNNNNNNNNNNNNNNNNNNNNNNNNNNNNNNNNNNNNNNNNNNNNNNNNNNNNNNNNNNNNNNNNNNNNNNNNNNNNNNNNNNNNNNNNNNNNNNNNNNNNNNNNNNNNNNNNNNNNNNNNUUCUCCGGUAGUUGUUAUUGUUAAUACUAACCUGUCACCAGUGGCCCCUCUAUUGUAAAUUUUUCAACUUGUCAAGUUUCUUCAACUUUUGUGGUAUUUAGUUUAGAUACUGGCUUCUAAAUCUGCAUUGGGUCAUUUUUAACAUUAUCAUCUAGAACUGGUCUCAGGAAGUUUUGCACCUCCUAACUUUCGAAGCCAUAUUUGCUGUAAAGUGUUCAAUACAUUAUCUGUGAACCUGCACAACUUAAACAUAUAUAAUAAGUAAAUAUAGAUAACACAGUUAAAGAAAUAGGACAAUUUGGAAGGUUUUGCUUAUGCUUACCAGUAAAGGGUAAGACCAGAAGGAACUAAAAGAGCAAAACAACCAAUCACUAAUGACAUAAGGACAUUGUCUAAGACUUCUUGAGAACUCUUCACGUUUGGAUCAGUAUCCUGAAAAUUGACAUGAAAAAUGAUAAGUAAUUUGACUAAAAAUGUAAAGACAAAGAUGCACUUUAAUUUGCAGACACCAAAAUAAAUUAACAUAAAUAUUUUCUUUAAGUGUUAAUUAACAAGCUUCAAAAGUGUUCUACUUAAACCUAUCUAUGACUAACCAUAGCUAUAGCUCUUAUGCGGUAAAACACAGACACUUGUACAGUCAACAAGGUUCAGAUAAGAAGUUACAGUAUGUUUUAAUGUACGAGUAAGUUAUGUAUUUAUUCGUGAUAGUUAUCGUUUGACAUUAAUGGGGUGUCUGCAGUGUAGACAGUUAACUGUGUUUGUUCAAAAAGGAAACUCCUUGUUAGGGGGAAACUUUGUGUUUGUUAGUGUUGAAUUUAAAUAUGGCAUAUAAACUAGAUUAUAUCAGUAAUAAAUUCAGUGUGUGAUGUGAGGAACCUUUCUUUUGGUAUAUGUUAAGAAUUCCUAAAACUGCACAAAAUUGAAUAAACAAGAUAAUGAUUCUAACUAGAAUAAAGAUUGAUCAACAAAAUUGAGAAAAGAACUCUUUGAAUAUCAUUCUGUUACUAUCAAUUGAAUGGGAUAAUCGGAUUGAAAUAGAAGAUACAAAAGGUAUACAAAGAAGAUGAUAACCUUUCUCCCAAAGGACAAGGAUAUGCUAAAGGACGCAUCUCCUUCCCUUAGAGCUUUGGCAUAAAUUGAUGGUCCCUGCAGAAAGUAAACGCAACAAGAAGCAAAAGUAUAGAAGAAAUGGAUCAAAGGAUUGGAAAUAAUGAUAUUAUUUAUGGUUCAGUACAAGAUAAUAGAGGAUCUCUAUAUUAUCUCCAUGGAGCUAAGCUCACUCUCAAAGAAAUCUCUUUCGCCUGAUUGACAACUAACUUCAUCAAUCUUUUCUCUCGCCUAGAAAAUCCCCUUAAAUAUCCCGGAAGGAAUAUUCAACUAACUAGGGUCUAGGACACCUCAUUGUUCUAAUUACUCAAUUUUAGCAACCUUAUUUGAUAAAAACCCAAAUUUAAAAGAAAUGGAAAAUAUAUUGAUUGGAAUGAAAAGAACAAUUACAGAGAAUGAUCCCUAUAAUCCCAGAGCAAAUGCUCAUCAGAAAAGAGACGCAACCCUCUCCCUGCCUAAAUCAUAUGAUUUGUCACUGAAUAAUUCUCAAUGAUCUAUGACAGCCUACAGUUUCCCUUUUAUUCACACACAAUACAUAACUACCUUAAUAACUACUUAUUAAUUAAUAACUUACACAAUAACUGCUAUAAUAAUAAUAAUAAUAAUAAUAAUAAUAAUAAUAAUAAUAAUAAUAAUAAUAAUAAUAAUAAUAAUCUAUACAUAUAUCUAUAUCUAUACAUAUAUCUAUACAUCUAUAUCUAUACAUCUAUACAUCUAUAUCUAUACAUCUAUACAUAUCUAUAUCUAUAUCUAUAUCUAUACAUCUAUACAUAUCUAUCUAUACAUAUAAUAAAGAGGAUACUUUUUUUUGGUGUGGAUUUUUUUUAUUUCCAACUUUAUCCUCUCAUACAUGAGUGGUUGAUUCCAGGAAUUGGUAACCGCAUGCAUAACCAUUUUUAAGUGUGGAUUUUUAUUUGCCAAUUUUGCCCUUCAUCUAUUCUAUUCUAUACAUAAUCUAUACAUAUAAUAAAGAGGAUACUUUUUUUUUGGUGUGGAUUUUUUUUAUUUCCAANNNNNNNNNNNNNNNNNNNNNNNNNNNNNNNNNNNNNNNNNNNNNNNNNNNNNNNNNNNNNNNNNNNNNNNNNNNNNNNNNNNNNNNNNNNNNNNNNNNNNNNNNNNNNNNNNNNNNNNNNNNNNNNNNNNNNNNNNNNNNNNNNNNNNNNNNNNNNNNNNNNNNNNNNNNNNNNNNNNNNNNNNNNNNNNNNNUUUUUUAGCAAUAAAAAUCUUUUAUUAACAAAUUUAUCAUAACAUAAAACAUUUUUUUGGACAUAAAUUAGACACAGGCAGGCGCGGAACGCGCCUGUCUGGCCCGCUAGUAAUAAUAAUAAUAAUAAUCUAUACAUAUAUCUAUAUCUAUACAUAUAUCUAUACAUCUAUAUCUAUACAUCUAUACAUCUAUACAUAUCUAUAUCUAUACAUAUAAUAAUCUAUACAUAACUUUUUUUGGUGUGGAUUUUUUUUAUUUCCAACUUUAUCCUCUCAUACAUGAGUGGUUGAUUCCAGGAAUUGGUCACCGCAUGCAUAACCAUUUUUAAGUGUGGAUUUUUAUUUGCCAAUUUUGCCCUUCAUCUAUUCUAUUCUAUACAUAAUGUAAUAAUAAUUUUUGGUGUGGACUUUUCAUAAUACCAACAAUACCCUUAUUUUUUUUAGCAAUAAAAAUUUUUUAUUAACAAAUUCACCAUAACAUAAGUCACAAAAUUUUUUUAGUAGCGAAAAUCUUUUAUUAACAAACUCACCAUAACAUAAGACAUGUCAUUUUUUUUUGACAUCAGUUAGACACAGGCAGGCGCAGAACGCGCCUUUCUGGCCCGCUAGUAAUAAUAAUAAUAAUAAUAAUAAUAAUAAUAAUAAUAAUAAUAAUAAUCUAACAGAGGUCCUAACAUUAUUGGUCAAACUAGUCUUAUUUCUCCUUUCAUAAACUACAAGUUUUGACCCUAUUACCCCUCUCUAUGUUAAUUGUACAUGCAACAUCAAAUACCUCUGAUGAUGGUAUUAUUUGGAGAGAAAUGUAUUGAGAGACAACCAGCAAAACAGGCAACACAAGGUAAGCCAGUGUAUCUGGCCAUCCAAGGAGAGGGCGGCCAUCCUGAAAUGAAAAAAUAAAACAAAAAUGUAAGAAAAAAAUAUAAAUCCAUCCAGAAUCAGCCGGAAAUUACAAACAAUGUGAACAAAAAUUCAAAAUGAUAAUAUAGAAACUUUUCACAAUUAUCUAGAUCAAUGAAGGUGAAUCAUGGCCUCCAAUUGUGAGGACUUAUUCAAGGAGGAAGCGGAAGAACAUAAGCAGGCUAGGGACGACAGUUGUUUAAUCUAUAAAAAUUCAAAGUUUAUUAGAAAGACAAAUACAUCAAAAUCAAACAACAGAUUCUCAGCAAACAUGCACCUAAAAAGUACAAAAUGUAAGAAAUGUGCCUUUUAUUAAUGAACAAAUGAAUAGAGUUCACAAUUCCAUUUCAUAAGAUUUCAGAAUGAAAGUAAAUGACCUGGUCAGGAAAAAUUCUUACAAGGUUGCAAAUUUAAUAGUCUUAACAUGUGUAAUUGUACUUGCUAAGUGAGAUAUUUACCACAAAAGUAAAAAGCCAAGAGAUACCAUUUCCAUUUUGCUGAGCUGCAACUGUAGUUGGACCAGAAAGAGAAGGUAUCCAAAAAAAGCCUUCACUAAGAGGUCCCUUUACAAAUUAUUAGACAAAAACAUAACAUUAGCCAUGGAGGAUAGAAAGAUAUGUAUACCUGAAAAACAGCAAAGUAAACUAUCAAAUAGAAAAUCAACAUAAUAAGCAACAUACCCCAUCUGCCAUCUUAGAAAAAGCUUGAUAUAGCCCGAUCCACACUGCUAUUGUUAAGGGAACGGGCAGGAAUCCUGGGAAGAAUGAAGGUUGAUUGAUUAAUAAAAGCAUUAGCAAGUUCAAUUUUAAAAAAGCAACAUUAAUGCUGUAUACUAGAGUGGAUCAUCGCUGGAUCCAUUUACCUACCUAAGCCAUAAUAAGCUCUUGCCUGUCUAUGACAUAUAUAACAGGCUUUGUCUAAUGUGUAAUAGGGAGGUAAAUCUUACACCUCAAAGCCAAGGGAAAUAUCUAUAACUAAACAACCCUUUUGCAAUACUAACAAUUAUGUCAUGGAUACCUGGUACAGGAUUAAUGUUGGUUGAUUUAUAUAACCGAGCAGUUUCAAAUGCGAUUGUAUCCUGCAAGAAGACAACAUAGAAAUCUUGUUAAUUGAAAAUAGAAAAAAAAAAAAUCAUUGGCCAGAGAAUACAGAGCCAAAAUGCUAACAUCAUAUGUUGGAAUCCUCAAAUAAAAAAUGACUUUGACUUGAUUUAAUAAGGGUAAAUGGUUGAUCUAAAUAAUUAAUUCAAAUCACUUCCGACAAAUACUACAAUAUUCAAUAGGAUUUGCGACACGAGAAAAGAAGUCAAUGACAUUUUAAAAAACUCACAUAAUUUCUUAUCUUUUAUCAUUUAUCAUUUCGAACACAAAAUUUGAUUUACAAAUGAAACCAAAUCCCAUUUCUCAGCAUUCCAAUAUUCAAACACACUUUAAACCAGAUCCCAUUUCUCAGCAUUCCAAAAUCCAAACAAGCAUUACCAGGAGGACUAUUGGCUUCAUAACUCCAUCAAACAAUAUAGUAGAGCUCGUUCAAUUGCCUAGUUGCACAGAAUAGGACUUAUGAUGUUAAAUAAAAAAGAUUUCAUUGUUUAAAUUACCACGAAAUAUCUCAAAAGGAAUACCCAGUGGUCAUUAUUGUAAUAUCCAAGAAUUUUGAAAAUCUAUUAGUAUAUAAUUAAAAAUAACAAUAAUACUACUAAUAAUAGUAAGGAAUAAUUGUGGAAAUAUUUAUAUUAAUUUAUGGGGAUAUGCAUCUUAAUAAUUAAAUAUAUUUUCAUGGCAUAUAUGUUGGUUUUCAAAUGAUUUCUUAUCAUAUGUAUUGUUCUAUAAUAUUGUGUUUUUCAUUUCUAUAUUAGAAAGAAAACCAAACUUUGAAGUCGGUUGCCAUUAACUAAACUAAUGAUAUACAUACACUUUUCUACGUGGAAAGCUUAUUAGUGAACACACCAAAAUUAUCUCUUUGUCAUCAUCUCAAAAACCAAUACAUCAUGACACCUCAUGCUAAAAAUAAUCUUUGCUGUCCAAGAAAAAGUAGUUCCAUUACUUAGUGAACAAGAAUUUACGGUCCAAUGAGAGUUAGUAAUUUCCAUGUCAAGGUAAUUUGGUUUAAGUAUAAAUAGGGUCCUUGAUGUUCAUUUAAAAUCAUCACAAACUGAAGUUCCAUGUCUCGUUCUCUAUAAUGUCUCGUUCCAUGUUCUCUCUCUUUAAAAAGCCUCUUUAAAUGUGAGUUGUGAAUAGGUUCCGUUUUUUUUCGAUUCGGAAAGGCUAUCCGUUAGAUGGAGCUGACACUAAGUGAGAGACUCCUCUUAGGAGGAAAGGGCUAUCAACGAGAUGGAGCCAUCUCUCAAUUCGGAGAAAAGGGCUAUCCGUUAGAUGGAGCCGCCACUAAGUUCGAGGUCGCACUUAGGAGGAAAGGGCUAUUAACGAGAUGGAGCCAUCUCUUAAUUCAGAGAAAAGGGCUAUCCGUUAGAUGGAGCCGCCACUAAGUGAGAGGUCACCCUUAGGAGGAAAGGGCUAUCAACGAGAUGGAUCCAGCUCUCAACUCUCUUACAACGAUUUUAUUUUAAUUAUACCCGAUUACUAUAUUUCCUGUAAAGUUGUUGAUUUGGUGACAUACUUAUAUUUGUUAAGUUUGAUCAUUAGGCUUGCCGGACUAGCGUUAGUUCGUGCACCGGUCAUGAUGUGAAUUUGAUGUGAAUUUGGGUCGUGACAAUUAUAAAAUAUAUUUUAUUGGAAAAAUUAAUUCUCACAGAAGCCAUAAGAAAUACCUGAUCCCCAGCAUACUGUUUUAGGAUAGCUUCUAAUUGAGGUUGCAAAGAUUGCAUUGCCAUGUCAUAUUCUACCUGAGAACAGUAACACCAAAGAUAGCAUUUCUUAUCNNNNNNNNNNNNNNNNNNNNNNNNNNNNNNNNNNNNNNNNNNNNNNNNNNNNNNNNNNNNNNNNNNNNNNNNNNNNNNNNNNNNNNNNNNNNNNNNNNNNNNNNNNNNNNNNNNNNNNNNNNNNNNNNNNNNNNNNNNNNNNNNNNNNNNGAUGAUGUGGCAUUAUGAGUACAAUAUUUUAAUAAUUUGUUGAUUUUUUAAUGUCCAUUUGGCUAUUAUUUUAAUUAACCUUAAUUUAAAAAAGAAAAACAUAAUAAAACACAACAAACUAAAAUAAAUUAAACUCUUAAAAAAACUAAAAUAAAUUCAAACCCAAAGAAAUUCAUACCCAAACAAAUUCAAACUCAAAGAAAAAUGAUUCGAUUCUUUCUAGAUCUGGUUUUUACUUUCAUGUUUUGGAUCUGAUUUCUUUUCUAAUAAGGAUCUUAGCAAUUUAUUGUUUCUUUGUUCAUGCUUGCUGUUAGAUGUUGGUGACGUCUAUAUUUUUCCAGAUAUGUUGAAGUGGAAAGAGAUUAAAGAUAGAAUUAACUAAAUCCAACAUACCCAGUGAAGUUUUGCUACUUCAAAACUGGCCGGUACACUACACCACCACUUCAAAAUUGAAGUUUCUCUUCUUCAACACUUCAAAACAAUGCAAAAAAGAGCCUCAUGACUCCCAAUUAUUUACUUCACUAUGCGUGCAAAUGUAAUUGGGUCAGGAUAAAGAUUUUGCAUCAUCAUCACAUAUAAUGGAUCAAAAAUCAUAUCUAAGUAGCUAAUAAAAGGCAGAGUCUUUAACUAUUAUACCGAAUGAAUAAAUAGAAAUAACUUAAAAGGUGAUUGAAUUAGAAAUUGACUCUAGAAGAGGAAGAAGACUUAAAAACCAAUGAACGCCUGCGAUUGAAGUGAAGGCACCGAAAGUGAUUGUGGAAGAGAAUGAAACUAUAAAAAAGAAACAAUUUUUCUACGUCCCAUCUAUUCCCCUCAUUUAAAUUUUGUGGAUUCAGAGAUACAUGAAUGUUGAUUCUAUUUUAUUCUACUUGGGUAGGUUUCUCAAUUGUUGUUUAAUUAUGAAUUUGGUGAUGAAUUCUAAUGUGGGUAUGAAUUUGUUUGAGUUUGAAUUUGUUUGAGUUUUUUUUUUCGAGAGUUUAAUUUAUUUUAGUUUGUUGUGUUUUAUUAUGUUUUUCUUUUUUAAAUUAAGGCUAAUUAAAAUAAUAGUCAAAUGGACAUUAAAAAAUCAACAAAUUAUUAAAAUAUUGUACUCAUAAUGCCACAUCAUCACAUUUAACAGAUAUUUAACGUUUUGGACCUAACUGACUAACGGAUUUAACAUUCAGGGAGCUUUUUUUAGUUUUUCUUAAUUCAGGGACUAACUUGACAGCGAGUGACACUUUCAGGGACCAAAGUGACUGUUUACUCAUUGUUAGUUGAAUUGAAUAGAGAGCCACAUCAAUGUUUUGUUUUUAUGGGUACUUUGGUGGUUAAAAUUUCAACUUUAAAUUCGUAAAAUAAAAAAAUAUUAAAGUGAAUAAGUAAAAAUUCAGAGUUCGAACUCUGAUCUUUACUCGCAUAUUAUAUUAUAGGUUAAAUUGUAGUUUUGGUUCUUGCGUUUUUUAAUUGUGCGAUUUUGAUUGCCCUAAUUUUAAAUGUGUGAUAUUAGUCUCCACAUUUGCCUCAUUUUGCAUUCUUGGUCUCUGUUGAUUAUUUUGAAGUAUAAAAAAGAAAAUUAAUAACAAAAACACCAUUGUUGUCUGCUCUAAUACUUACAUAAACACUUUAAAAAUAACGUGGAAAAAAUAAAUAACCUCAAUACAAAGGUAUUAGUAUCUUACUACAAUGUACUAAGAGAAUCUCCAAUCUCCAAUAUUACACAUUUAUGUGGUGUCUUUUACUUCCUCCGGACACAAAUAUAAGUAAAAAUAACUGUUUAUGCGGUGUUUAAGAAAUUUAGUUAAGUGUAGUUAAUUUUCUUGAUUUAAUGAAAAACAUCAGUUAAGUUUACUAUAUUACCGGUAUAUUAGGAAUAGUAGUAUUAAUUAGUUUAAAAGUAGUUAACUUUUGCUUAUAAUAGUGACCAAAAUUCAAAGUGUUUUUUUUGCUUAUAUUUGUGUCAGGAUGGAGUAUUUAUUUUCACCAUUGGAGCUUGGUAUGCUUGGUAUCUCUUAUUUUUCUUGUCCAUCCCUUUAUAAGAGACGCAAGUACACAGUCUCUUAGCAACAAAUUGCUAUAUGAUAUUACUCAAAUUUGUAUGAAAUAAUUCAUUUAAAUAAUAUUUUAAUUAAAAUAAAUUUAAGUGUAAAUAUUAAAAGUACAUUAAAGUAUGACAUGUGAGAUCCACUCUAGAGACUCAUUUUAAACACCAUUGCAUUGGAGUAAAAUAAGUAUGUGUUGCUUAUGAAUGAUGUGUGAGAGAGACUCACUCAAAAAAUAAGAACCCAAAAUAACAAACAAUGGCCACAGCUACAAGGAACUGCCCUAAAUUAUGGUACAACCAUUUCAUCCAAUUCGAAUAAUUGCAUCGACAAUUCAAACAUGGCAAAAGUGAUAAUAAUUUCCACUAUUUGAAAACUCGUGAAACUACGGUGUUCACUUUAUCAAACUAGGAUUCUUUGCAAUGAAUUAUUUGAGAUUAUCUAUUUGCAUAAAUCUUCUUAACUAUUUGGAAAAAUUUAUAAAAAUAACUAUUGACAUUUUUCAUAAGCAUUUUUCAACUAAGUUUCACAAUUUCUCCAAAAUAGCUUUUUUUUUUUUGACGAACCAUUCUCCAAAAUAGCUUAAAAAUAGCUUAUGUAAGCAUAUAAACAAGCACUUAUCAUGAUAAACGUUUAUACUAUAAGUUGCAAAUAAGUUGUUUAUCACAUAAAAUGCAACUUAUCUUCGCAUUAAAAGUUAUCAAAAGUUAGAGUUUGGACACACUUUGUAAGUGAGUGCAACCAAAUAUCAUGAAAAAUGCUAUAAAGGCCACUGUAAAAUCUUGUUACAUGCCUAUACUUUUGAGGGCAGACAAAAAGCAUUAUGGAAGUUCUCAGUCAUAGCAUAUACCUUGGCCAUGAUACUGUAGUACUAAUACAAACUGAAACUAUGACACUGCAUAUCAGACAUCAAAUCUAUAACAACCCAACUCCUCCUCCUCCUCAAUUGUGGAAACCUUGAAUCUUGUUCAUUCCAUCAUUUCUAUAGCAAUGUACUACAAUGUUAACCAGAGAGACCUCAAAUUGCAUGGGACAUCGUCGCAUUUCUAAGUUCUAACAUAGCCUAUAGAUGCCAACCGGGCCGGUAAAUCUUAUAACAUAUUCAACUCUUCUAAUUCAAUCCAAUGUCACGUCAUCUGGGUCUAAUCCAGUAGUUGUGAUUGUUAGUACUAACCUGUCACCAGGUCGUGGCCACUCUGCAGUAUAUUUGUCAACUGUUCUAGUUUUUUCAACUUUUGUGGAAUUUAGUUUAGAUACUGACUUCUGAAUCUGCAUUUGGUCAUUUUUCACAUUAUCAUCUAGAACAUGUCUCAAAGGAUUUUUUGCACCUUCUAACUUUUGAAGCCAUAUUCUCUGUAAAGUGCUCAAUAUAUUAUAUGUGAACCUGCACAACUUAAAAGUAUAUAUAUAGCAAGUAAAUAUAGAUAACACAGUUAAACAUAUAUGACAAUUUGGAAGGCUUUACUUAUGCUUACCAGUAAAGUCCAAGACCUGAAGGAACUAAAAGAGUAAAACAACCAAACACUAAUAAAAUGACCUCAUCUUUGACUUGAAAACUCUCCAUGUCGAAAUCAAAAUCAGUAUCUUGAAUAUUGACAUGAAAGAUUUCUUGAGAACUCUUCACAUUGGGAUCAGUAUCCUGAAAAUUGACAUGAAAAAUGGUGAGUAAUUCGACUAAAAAUGUAAAGACAAAGAUGCACUUUAAUCUGCAGACACCAAAGUAAAUUAACAUAAACAUUUUCUUUAAUUCUUGUAGAAAAAUGGGAGGAGUUCGCAUGACUAUUCUGACUCAUGACAUAUAGUUAAAAGAUAAUCCAGUUAGACAGCCUGGCUAUACAAAAAGGACAAAAAUCAUACCAACAUACUAAUUAACAAGCUUGUAAAGUGUUCUACUUAAACCUAUAUAUGACUAACCAUAGCUAUAGCUCUAAUGCGGUACAACACAGACACUUGUACAGUCAACAAGGUUUCAGAUAAGAAGUUACGAGCUUUUCUAUCAUAGGCACAACUCCAAAUCUAUUAUGUAUAGGCACACACACACAUAAAUGGUAAAAAUUAAAUCAUAAUUAAUUUAGUCACAUCAAUUGAUAUUGACUAUUUAAUUUAUCUUUUAAUUUUAUUUGAGUUUUGUAUGUGUGCCCAAAUUUAAAGUUUGUUUGUGCCUAUACAGGUGUUCCUCAGGAGUUAGGUGUUCCUCAUGAGUUACUCCCUCCAUCCCAAAAUAAUGGUCACAACUUGACUAUGAGCACCAUUCAUAUAACCUAUUUUGACAUUUUUUUUACUAAUACAUAAAAGUAAAUGUUAGUAUAUAAGAUAUUGCUCAAUUUGUCUCGAUGAAUAUUUUCAAAAUAUUAACUUUUAUAAUUUUUAAUUAUAGAUAACUAAAAAUAUUAAUGGUCAAAGUUGUGUAUUGGCAUGUGUUAAGUGGUCAAUUGCGACAAUAAUUUUGGGACGGAGGUAGUAUGUUUUUAUGUACGAGUCAGUUAUGUUUUAAUUUGUGGAUAGUUAUGGUAUGGUAUUAAUAGGGUGUCUUCGGUGUAGGCAGUUAAAUGUGUUUGUUGAAAAAGGAAUACAAUGAAGAUGAUAACCUUUCUCUCAAAGGUCAAGGAUACCCCAAAGGACCACUCUGCUUCUUUCUCUUGAGUUUUGGUAUAAACUGAUGGUCCCUGCAGAAAGUAAACAGCAACAAGCAAAAGUAUAGCAGAAAUAAAUCAAAGGAAUGGAAGCUCCGUCAAAAAAAAUAAAUCAAAGGAAUGGAAAUAACGACUUUAUUUGAGUUAGUACAAAAUAAUAGAGGAUCUCUAUAUUAACUCCAUGGAGCAAAGCUCACUCUCAAAGAAAUCUCUUUGGCCUAUUGACAACUAACUUAAUCAAUCUUUUCUAUCUCCUAGAAAAUCCCCUUAAAAAUCCCAGAAGGAAUAUUCCACUAACUAGGACACCUCAUCAUUCUAAUUACUCAUUUUGGCCACUUCAUUGGUCAAACUAGUCUCCACUGAUGGCGAAAAUAUUGGUAACUAAAUAAAAAUAAAUAGAAUUGACGGAAAAAGACAGAAAUGAAGGCAAUCACAAUUCUAAUCCAAGAAUACCGAUAAACCAAGUGAGGAUCGCCACAAGAAACGUAGUUUCUUGAUAAGAUCGAUAGAUGGUUCAAUCCAGAACCAACAAGCAGCAAAGCUUCAAAAUUCACACAAAGUAGAUGGUUCAACUUAUUUUAUUCAUGUUCUUGCAUCUCCUAUAUAAGUUGAAUUUGGAUUAAAAAGUCAUUACAAGAUAAGUCAAUGAAUUUUUCAGCCAAAGGUACUAUUGUUGGUAUGCCAUGACUUUCCAACAUUUUUAUAUAUCUUCCUCUCAUUGAUCUCAAUUUUCUCUUUCUUUUCCUUCUCCUCCAAUUCUACCUCAUGACUUUUUUCUUUUUCAUUCUUCACAUUUGAGCAUCAAUCAUGUUAACCUCCAUCUGUGAGAACCUCUCUUCCAAUGACGCAAACUUCCCAUCCAUCUGUGCGACACACGACUCAAUGUUAACUGAGUUUGAAACCUUCUUGGAUGGCAUCCGAUGAAAUAGAGCUACUUCUGAUGGUACUGUAGAACCUUCGCGAGGCAAAAUCUGGAUGUGUGCUUCUUCACUACUGGUUCCGAUUGCAACACAGAAACCCUUGGAAGCAGUUUCCGAUCACGAAUUUGCAAACACAGAUUUGGGAAAUGGUAUAUCCAGCAGGUCGGACCAAAUUGGUAAAAACCAAUGGUCCCUGCAGAAAGUAAACAGCAAGCAAAAGUAUAGAAGAAAUGGUUCAGUACAAGAUAACAGAGGAUCUCUCUAUUAUCUCCAUGGAGCAAAGCUCACUCUCAAAGUCUCAAAUAAAUCUCUUUGGCCUGAUUGACAACUAAUUUCAUUAUCCUUUCUCUCUCCUGGAAAAUCCCCUUAUAUAUCCCAGAAUGAAUAUCCCACUAACUAGGACACCUCAUCAUUCUAAUUACUCAUUUUGGCCACCUUACAGAACGACAAUUGCUUAAAUACGUUCCUAUCGCUGGAAAAGCCAAAGGGUCAACCGGUCAAGUUUUACUACAAUUACUUGAAAUGCGUUUGGAUAACAUACUUUUUCGAUUGGGUAAUGGUCAAACUAGUCGUUGUAUUUCUCGUUUCAUAAACUCUUCAUUUUUUGACCCUAUUACCCCACUCAAUAUUUGAAUUCCCAUCAAGUUUUCUCUACCAAUAAGAGCUAUUCCAAGGCCUUUUAAAAAUAACCAAAUUAACAACUCUUAACAACCACCUAACAAAAUCUUCAACUUACUAACUAACUCUUAACUACUCUAAUUGUCCAAUAUUCUAUAUCCUAACAGUGUGUUUAUUUCUGAGUCCACACGUUCAGCGACAACAUUAAUUAUAGAGCCAAGAAAAAUCUAAUUUAAUUAUACAUGCAACAUCAAAUACCUGUGAUGAUUGUAUUAUUUGGCGAGAAAUGUAUUCAGAGACAACAUGCAAAACAGGCAAGACAAGGUAAGCCAAUGUAUCUGGCCAUCCAAGGGGCGGGUGACCAUCCUGAAAUGAAAAAAUAAAACAAAAAGCAUAAAAACAAACCCCAAAUUUAAUUCCACCUGGAAUCUGCCAGAAAUUACAAACAAUGUGAACAAAAAAAUAAAAAUGAUAAUAUGGAAACUCUUCACAAUAAUCUAGAUCAAUGAAGGUGAAUGAUGUUAGUAAUACGUGUUGACUUAUUCAAGGAGGAAGCUGAAGAACAUAAGUGGGACAGGGAAAGCACUUGUUUAAUCUAUAAAAACAAAAUUUUAUUGGAAAGACAAACACAUCAAAAUCAAGCUGAUUCUCAGCAAACAUGCACUUAAAAAGUACAAAAUGUAAGAAAUGUGCCUCUUAUUAAUGAAAAAAUCAAUAGAGGUCACAAUUCCAUUUCAUAAGAUUUCAGAAUGAAAGUAAAUGACCUGGUCAGAAAAUAAUUCUUACAAGGUUGCAAAUUUAAUAGUUUCAACAUGUGUAAUUGUACUUGCUAAGUGAGAUAUUUACCACAAAAGGAAAAAGCCAAGAGAUACCACUUCCAUUUUGCCAAGCUCCAAUUGUAGUUGGACCAGAAAGAGAAGGUAUCCAAAAGAAGCCUUCACUAAUAGGUCCCUUUACAAAUUAUUACACAAAAACAUAAGAUUAGCCAUGUGUAUACCUGAAAAACAGCAAAGUAAACUAUCAAAUAGAAAAUCACCAUAAGCAACAUACCCCAUCUGCCAUAUUAGAAAAGGCUCGAUAUAGCCCGAUCCACACUGGUAUUGUUAAGAGACUGGGUAGCAAUCCUGGGAAGAAUGAAGGCUGAUUAAAAGAAUUAGCAAGUUCAAUUUUAAAAAGCAAUAUCAAUGUUUUAUACUGGAGUGGAUUGAAUUUGAAUUUGAAAGUGAAUCUAAAUCAAAACCAUUGUAGUUGAACGAGACGGUGUGAAGAACAAAAUUACAAAAAAAAAAAAUAGAGAUCUGAGUUGAGAGAAGGAGCGCGUGAGGAGGAGGAAGGUCACUGAAGAACUCGCCGGAAGAGGGGACAGAGAAAAGCACAUAUAGAGACAGAGAGGUCCAGCAGACAGUCCACAAAGAGAUCUGAGUUGAGAGCAGGGGGUCACCGCAGAAGCUCGCCGGAGGAGGGAGUCUUGUGGCUGGAAGAGGAGAAAACACACAUAGAGUGAGACAAAUCUACAAGAUCGUAUAUAUGGCGGAGUUCACGGCGGGGCUGAGGGUGGAGAGUCUUCCGGAGUUGGUUGGAGCUCUAGAAGGGAUUGUGAAAAUGAUACUGUGAUGGGUACAAGCUAUUAUUGUGUAGAUAGAUAAAUCCAUAGGCUAAAAUACUCAUGCACCAUGCACCAUUUGUCUAACUUUUGCAUGUUAGUCGUAGCCUAUAUAACAAUGCUUAUAGUUCCAUGUAAAACGAAACAGUACAAUCAAAAUUGUGGAAAAAAUCAGAAAACAACCGGACUGGUGAUAAGAAAGCUAAGGAAGACCACAUCCUCAAAGCCAAAGGAAAUAUCUAUAACUAAACAACCCUUUUGCAAUACUAACAAUUAUGUCAUGGAUACCUAGUACAGGAUCAAUGCUGCUUGAUUCAUAUAACCGAACAGUUUCAAGUACAAUUGUAUCCUGCAAGAAGACAACAUAGAAAUCUUGUCAAUUGAAAAGAAAAAGAAAAUCAUUGGCCAGAGAAUACAGAGCCAAAAUGCUAACAUCAUGUGUUGGAAUCCUCAAAUAAAAAAAUGAUUUUGACUUGAUUUAGAAAUCAAACUUGAUGUUUAAAAUCAAAUCUUAUGUUUAGAACUCAAUAAAAAUGGAAUUAACUUUUUGUUUUAUUUGAAAGGCUAUUCAAUAAGGGUAAAUGGUCAAUCAUUCAAUCUAAAUAAUUAAUUCAAAUCAAAUCAAUUCCCACAAAUACUACCAUAUUAAAUAGGAUUUGUGACAUGAGAAAAGAAGUCGAUGAGAUUUAAAAAAUCAAAAUAAUGUCAUAUCUUUUAUCAUUUCAAACACAAAGUUUGAUUUACAAAUCAAACCAGAUCCUAUUUCUCAGUAUUCCAAAAUCCAAACACAGUAACACACUCUAACAGGAGUACCGACUUCAUAAUUCCAUCAAACAAUAUAGUAGAUCUCGUUCAAUUGCUUACUUGUACAGAGUAGGAAUUAUGAUGUUAAAUAAGAAAGAAUUCGUUGUUUAAAUUACUAGGAAAUAUCUCAAAAAGAAUACCCAGUGGUAAUAUUAAAAUAUAUUUUAUUGGAAAAAGUAAUACUUAUAGAAGCCAUAAGAAAUACCUCAUCCCCGGCAUACUGUUUUAGAAUAGCCUCUUCUUUAGGUUGCAAAGAUCGCAUUACCUCGGCAUAUUCUACCUGAGAACAGUAACACAAAAGAUUGCAUUUCUUAUCCAUAAUUUUAGGAGUAUCGAAAGAACACAACUCAUAUUGAUAAUUUUCAGCUCUUCAAAACAAGGAAAUGAAGCACAUUUCGAAAACGACAAACCUGUUUUAUUCUCAACGGAAAUACAACAGCAUUUACAAGAACUGCGAGCAUUAUAAUUGCAAAACCAUAAGCAUACGGCACAUGCAAAGUAGAAAGACCAAACUUAAGUACCUGAAAAGUGAAAACAUUUCUCAAGCCACAACAAUAACAGCAAACACCAUUAACCAGAACCCUAGUACCCUACCUUACCUACUUACCACGACGAAUAAGUUCAAAAUGUAAAAAGUUAAAACUAAAAUCUUACUCGUUUUUUUGUCAAGUAGCCUAGUGACAAAUAUUUCAGUCUUAAAAUGAAUAAGUGAAGUGUCUAAGGCUCGAAUACCGGCCUUGCCCUUGCAUAUAGCAAUAUCCCGACCAACUGAGUUAUACUCACGAGACAACUAAAAUCUUACUUUACCGCUCUAAAAUACACAAUUUCCUUGUAUUCAAUGAAUUAGGUAUCGUCUAGUAUGUUAAUAAUUCAAAUUCAAAUUACGGUUUAAAUUUUAUAAUCAAAAUAAUAAAAAUAAAAUAAAGUUGAGUAAAAGUUUGAGAAAGCAAUACCUUGAGAAUAGUCUCGACGUAAUUGGUGAUUAAUGAAAGCCAAUCGUGAUCCUGCUUAGCGGUGGCGAUGGCGGUGUUUACCACCGUAUCGGAAGACAAAACAGCGACAUCGGCAAUUGUGUAAAGAAAACUCUCCGCUCGGUUAUACAAUUCUCUGACAACGAAUUCGGUGUCAUCCGGUUGGGGUAAAAAACCGGGUUGAAAUCCGAAACGGGCAACGGAAAGUGAACCGCGAAGAAAGCGUUUAGUGGAGGGUAAGAAGGUGUGGGAGUGAGGUCGAAGUGGAAAAUGUGUUGUGGUUCGGUUUCCGAACGGAGUAGAGAGUAUAGUUGGUGUGGAAGGUAACAGAACCGCCAUUGGCUUCGUAAUGGAAGAAGGUAGCUACGAAAAUGGAAGUGUUGUAAUUGCACAUACAAUUAUGGUUAUCCUUAUGAUGAUAUAGUUGAAACAGUUGUUCUUGCCAUGCCAAUUUGAAUUUAUUUGUAGUUGUUGUAGUGUCUCCCUAACUAACAAUAUCCAUUUGAGUUGUUAAUUAGGAAUGAAUGAGAGAGAAUAUAAAGACUAAUUUAAGUAGUAAGUAGUUGAAACUAUGUGUAAUGGUCCAUUUGGCCUGACUUUUUUUGAGUUUAUGCAAAUACUCCGUUUGGACUAAUUUAAGUAGGGAGUAGCUUAUGCAAUAUAAAUUUAGUUUUAUGUUAUUUUAUAAGUUCAUAUCAGUGAAAAUUAUAAUUUUAUAUGUUAUUUUAUCAUAAACUACCUUGACAAAUAAGAUGAAAAAAAGUCAGGUCAAACGAUUGAUGAGUGGUAAUAGACUUUCAUGUUCGGAAGCAUGUAGUUAUGAGUUUAAUUUGAUUCAUAUGGAAAAAAGUUCAUCUUCGACCUACAUUUUUUAAUGUAGGCAAUGGUGAUUGUAGAUUUGGUCGAAUACUUGAGUGUUGUUUGAGUUUUUCAACCAACUAGUAUUGUCUGUUGCUUGGCAUUUUUAAAGUUUUGUUGAGUUUUUUAUUGCUAAAUCUUGUGUCAAGAGGUAGAAGACUAAAGUUAAAUUUUGCAAAAUCAUUCGAUUGCGUCCAUGAAUUAUCAUAAGUUAUAUCGAUUUAGUCCAUGUGUUGACGGCAAUGAGCAGGAGACGAGACAUAAAAGGCAAUGAUGUUCUUCUCGGAUGGAGGCACAACGCGAUGAUGUUGAAAUUUCACAGAAAAUAUUUAGGCAGGAAUGGUAAAAAAGAUGGAAAGGUGAAAUGGGUAAAGAACUCAAAAUUCAUAAUUACUAUUUCUCCAAAUUUGAAAUUCCUAAAUUUCUUCAAACUCAAAAAUAAAAAAUAGAGAAGAUGGGUGGUGGUUUUGUGUAUGACAACUGCAGAGAAAUAACUCAAUCACGAAAUUCAUCUUCAACCUCCAUUUUUAAUGGAGGCAAUGGUGAUGGUAGGAGUUGUUGAAUGCUUGAGUAUUGUUUGAAUUUUUCAACCAACUAUUGUAUUUUGCGAGGCGUCUUUAGAGUUUAUGUUGAAUUUUUUAUUGCUGUGGCUCCUCCAUCAAGAGGUAGAAAAUGAAGUUAGUUUUGUAAAAUCAAUCAAUUGCAUCUCUAAAUUAUCAUAACUUAUAUUAAUUUAGCCUUUAUGUUAAUGUUAUUGGUAUCAAUUCAGUCCUUGCAUUGAUGUCAAUGCACAGAAGACGAGAUAGAGAAGGCAAUGAUGUUGUUCUCGUAUGGAGGCAAACCGACNNNNNNNNNNNNNNNNNNNNNNNNNNNNNNNNNNNNNNNNNNNNNNNNNNNNNNNNNNNNNNNNNNNNNNNNNNNNNNNNNNNNNNNNNNNNNNNNNNNNNNNNNNNNNNNNNNNNNNNNNNNNNNNNNNNNNNNNNNNNNNNNNNNNNNNNNNNNNNNNNNNNNNNNNNNNNNNNNNNNNNNNNNNNNNNNNNNNNNNNNNNNNNNNNNNNNNNNNNNNNNNNNNNNNNNNNNNNNNNNNNNNNNNNNNNNNNNNNNNNNNNNNNNNNNNNNNNNNNNNNNNNNNNNNNNNNNNNNNNNNNNNNNNNNNNNNNNNNNNNNNNNNNNNNNNNNNNNNNNNNNNNNNNNAGGGAGUAUUAAUUUAGCCUUUAUGUUAAUGUUAUUGGUAUCAAUUUAGUCCUUGCAUUGAUGUCAAUGCACAGAAGACGAGAUAGAGAAGGCGAUGAUGUUGUUCUUGUAUGGAGGCAAAACGACGAUGAUGUUGAAAUCUCACAUAAAACUUCAAACAGAAAUGAAUAAGGAAGAUAUAAAGGUGAAAUGAGUAAAGAAAAUGAAGAAAGGGUUAGCAUGUGAAAAUGUAAAAAUGAUUUUGUUUACUUCCUACUUGGAUGUGACAUGUACACACCAUGUCAUACCUUUUCAACAUACGUUAGCGCAUCUAACAGCAACAGAUAAUAGAGGGACUAAUUCGAUUGACAAGCAUACUAUAAAGGGUAUUGUCUUUAUUCAUUUAUCAGUGAAAAUUGAUGGAAAAAAUAUAAUACAAACUCAAACUGUUAAGCUGCAUAUCAGCCAUCAAAUCUAUAACAACCCAACCCCUCCCGCUCGGCAAUUGUAGAAACCUUGAAUCUCGUUCAUUCCAUAAUUUCGGUGGCAAUGUACACUGUUAACCAGAAGAUCUCCAAUUGCAUGGGAUGUUGCAUUUCUAAUUCCUAUCAUAGCCUAUAGAUGCCAACUGGGCCGGUCAAUCUUACAGCAGAUUUCUAACUCUUUUAAUUUGGUCAAUCCUUUGUCACAUGAUCUGGAUCUUCUCCAUGAGGUUGCUUGUUUGUAGUUGUGGUUGUUAAUACUUCUCUUGGUUCCUGUAAAAUUGUGAAAUUAAAGAGAGAAUUGCAUGAUUUGCAAAAUAACUCAGUUAUUCUUAUCAUAAUGGUANNNNNNNNNNNNNNNNNNNNNNNNNNNNNNNNNNNNNNNNNNNNNNNNNNNNNNNNNNNNNNNNNNNNNNNNAAAAAAAAAGAAGUUUCCUCAUUGCCCCGAGAGGGUAAUAAACGAAAAUUAAAAAAUUAACACAUUAUUAUCAACACCCUACCAAUCAUAACUCAGCUAGGAGUAUAAUGUUGCACACUAUAGUUUCGUAUGAAGGCUCAUAAAAGAGGUAAAUGGAAUUGCCAAGCAAAUACUUGAUAUCAUAGGAUAUGUUGCUACAAAAUUUAUUCUCGCAUGAUUCUUAACAUCGGUCAAAUUGAAAAGUUGAUUGAUGGUGUCCAUGCGCACAAAAUUACGACCAGCACAUUAUAGUUCCCACUUACCCCCACCAUUAUUAAAUGCUAGGCAAUAGAAAUCAAAAAGCAUUUUCUAGCAUACCUAUGAAUGAGGCAAUUUAUCUUCACAAAAAAAAAUUAGGAAACAUACAAUAAUACCUUUUCUAGACUUUUCUUGUUUACUGCAUUGAAAUUAUCAGAACCUUCAUCAUUUUCAGAAUCAGAUUUAGAUGUAGAAUUCUGAUUUCCCUCCAAGUCCUUACUCAACGGAUUACCAUUUACUACUCCAGAUAUGGAUGGAUCAGUAUCGGCACCCACAGAUUGGGAAUUUUCAACUAAGUCGCCUACAGCUUGAUUUCUCCCUUCAAUUGUUUGCUCGUGAUUAGCUUUAGCUGUUGCUUCCUCAGCCUUCCUUUUUUCUUCUUCUCUCUGCUGUUUCUUCCUUGCCUCUAGCUCCAUUAAUUGCUUAAAUCUGCAAGAAAAAGAGGAACGCAAUUACAACAGGUUAAAAUAAAUCAAUAGCAUUUUAAGAAAGUGUAGCUACCUACAAUAAUAAUAACUAACCUGUCACCAGGUCGUGGCCCCUCUGAUGUCAAUUUUUCAUCUUUUCUGGCUUCUUCAACUUUUGUGGAAUUUAGUUUAGAUACUGACUUCUGAAUCUGCAUUGGAUCAUUUUUAUGAAUCUGCAUUGGGUCAUUUCUCACAUUAUCAUCUAGAACUUGGCUCAAAGGAUUUUUUGCACCUCCUAACUUUUGAAGCCAUAUUUGCUGUAAAGUGCUCAAUAUAUUAUUUGUGAACCUGCACAACUUAAAAGUAUAUAAUAAGUAAAUAUAGAUAACAUGUUUAAACACAUAGGACCAUUUUGAAGGUUUUUGCUUAUGCUUACCAGUAAAGGCUAAGACCAGAAGGAACUGAAAGUGCAAAAUAACCGAUCACUAAUGGAAGGACCUUGUUUAAGACUUGAUUACUCUUCACGUUGGGAUCAGUAGCCUGAAAAUUGACAUGAAAAAUGAUGAGUAAUUUGACUAAAUAUGUAACGACAGAGAUGCAAUUUAAUCUGCAGACACCAAAGUAUAUUAACACAAAUACUUCUCUUUAAUUCUUGUAGAAGAAUGGGUGGAGUUCACAUGACGCAUGACAUAUUAGAUAAAAGAAAAUCCAGUUAGACAGCCUGGCUAUACAAAAAGGACAAAAAUCAUACCAACAUACCGUAUUAAUUAACAAGCAUGAAAAGUGGUAAGCUUAAACAUAUAACUAACCAUGCUAUAUCGUAUGCGGUAUAAAAACAGACACUUGUACAGUCAACAAGGUUCCAUAAAAGAUGUUACGUUUUUAUGUGUGUAUAGUUAUGGUUUGUAUUAAUAGGGUGUCUGCAGUUUAGACAGUUAUCUGUGUUUGUUGAAAAGGGUAACUACUUGUUAGGGGGAAACCUUGUGUUCGUUAGUGUUGAAUUCAAAUAUGGCCUAUAAACUAGAUUAUAUCAGUAAUAAAUUCAGUGUGCGUUAGGAACCUUUCUUUUGGUAUAUGGAAAGAAUUCCCAAAACUGGGCAGAAUUAAAUAAACGAGAAUGAUUCUAAUUGAAUAAACAAGCAAAUGAUUCUAAGUAGAAUAAAGAUUGACCAACAAAAAUGAGAAAAGAACUCUGAGAGAAUUUUUAUGUUACUAUUAAUUGAAGGGGAGAGCAAUGGGUCACACUCUCUAACACACCCAUUUGACACACUCCAAUUAAAAUUAGCCAUGUCAUUCCCUUCAUUCUAAUGAUUCACCUGCUACCGGAUUCAUUUUCAAUGCAACUAUUUUUUAUUUUAUUUUUUAUUAUUUGCUUUGAACCUUUCAUCUUCGACAUUGAACCUCCCAACAAGAUUGUUUUUUCAUGUUCUCACAAGAUCUCAUUUGUGAAAAGGCAUCAGAAUAAUAGGUGUCUGUUCUUUUCUUCCUUAAUUCUUUUACGUUACCAUUGUCAUUGUUGACAAAAACACAGAUAACAAAAAUUACUUUAAAAAAUUUUAGGAAAUGAGAACUUGAAAACAUACGCACAUCAGUAACCUCAAGAACAAUUUAGGUAAUCAGAUCUGGAAAAUUCUACAACAAAAACAGGCUCCAACUAAGAUGAAACAAAAAUGGAACUCAACUAAAGAAGCCAUAGACAGAUCGGAAGGUGCGAGCGCCACUUUACGGUAGCGGCAGAGAAGGUUGCGAUAUAUUCCGGCGACGAUAACCUUGAAUUUUCUGUUUCAUAUUGUUGUUGUUAAUUAUACAGCAGAACUUUUGCUCCAACUUCAUUGGGAACUAUNNNNNNNNNNNNNNNNNNNNNNNNNNNNNNNNNNNNNNNNNNAAAAAAAAAAAAAAAGAGUAAGAACAAAGAGAAUAUAAACUCUUGACUGUGUGUGACAAAUUAAAAUAAUAACCGAACAAAGAGGGUUUAGAAAAAGUGUUGAAGAGGCCAUGGAAGAAGAAGAAGACAGUGAACAAAAUCAGACGGUGAACAAAAAAAAGUAUUUUUUAUUUUUUAUUUUUUUUUUUAUUUCUAGCUACCUGUACAACAGGUUACCAGGUUAAAGAACAAAAAGAGUAAAUGAUGUGGCUAAUUAUAAUUGGAGUGUGUCUAAAGAGAUUGUUGAAGAGUGUGACAAUAGCACUGCUCUUGAAGGGGAUAAUAGGAUUGAAAGAGAUGAUACAGAAGGAAUACAAUGAUGAUGAAUGGGAUAAUAGGAUCGGAAGUUAGAGUCUAUUGACAUCUUUAUGGGUCGGGUUGAUGGUCUUCUUUGGUAGUCUGGAGGCUGAGGAAUGUCCUUCUAAGAAUGGGAUUAGAAGUGAACCUCUAUUAGUUGGUGUCCGGUUUUUGGCUUUAUUCAUUGGUGUUCCGCUUAUAUACGGCACCUUUGUUUUGUAGUUCCACUUUUCCCGGCCUCUGUUCGUCUUGUGCAGAGACCAGUUAUUAAUAAUAAUAUAUUUACCGUUCAAAAAAAAAUGAUGAUGAUAACCUUGCACUCAAGGGGCAGGCUACCCCAAAGGCACACUCUUUUCACUAGAGCUUUAAUUAUUAGAGCAAAGAAGUAUCCAAUUUAAUUAUACAACAUCAAUUACCUGUGAUGAUUGUAUUAUUUGAAGAGAAAUGUAUUGAGAGAUAACCAACAAAACAGGCAAGACAAGGUAAGCCAACGUAUCUGGCCAUCCAAGGGGAGGGUGACCNNNNNNNNNNNNNNNNNNNNNNNNNNNNNNNNNNNNNNNNNNNNNNNNNNNNNNNACCCCAAAUUUAAAUCCACCUAGAAUCUGCCAGAAAUUACAAUUUACAAACAAUGUGAACAAAAAAUCAAAAUGAUUAGGAAACUUUUCACAAUAAUCUAGAUCAAUGAAGGCAAAUCAUGUUAGUAAUAGGCCUCUAAUUGUGGGACUUAUUCAAGGAGGAGGCCGAAGAGCAUAAGUGGGCCAGGGGCAGCACUUGUUUAAUCUAUAAAAUCCAAUGUUUACUUAAAAGGAAAAUACAUAUCCACUGAUUCCCAGCAAACAUGCACCUAAAAAAAUAAAAAAUGUGCCUCUUAUUAAUGAAACAAAUUGUAGAGUUCAAUAUUCUAUUUCAUAAGAUUUCAGAAUGAAACUAAAUGACCUGAUCAGAAAAUAAUUCUUACAAGAUUGCAGAUUUAAUAGUCUCAACACAUGUAAUAGUACUUGGUAAGUGAGAUAGUUACCACAAAAGGAAAAAGCCAUGAGAUAGCACUUCCACUUUGCCGGGCUGCAGUUGUAGUUGGACCAGAAAGAGAAGGUAUCCAAAAGAAGCCUUCACUAAGAAGUCCCUUUACAAAUUAUUAGACAAAAACAUAACAUUAGCCAUGGAUAGAAAGAUAUGUAUACCUGAAAAACAGCAUAAUAUACUAUCAAAUAGAAAAUCAACAUAAUAGGCAACAUACCUCAUCUGCCACAUUAGAAAAGGCUCGAUAUAGCCCGAUCCACACUGGUGUUGUUAAGAGAACAGGCAGGCAUCCUGGGAAGAAAGAAGGUUGAUAAAUAAAAGAAUUAGCAAGUUCAAUUUUAAAACGCAAUAUUAAUGUUUUAUACUGAAGUGGAUUGAUCGCUGCAUCCAUCUACCUACCCAAAAAAAUCUAUUUUUUCCAAAAAAAAAUCUAUUUUUUUUAUCUUACUUUGUGUUUGUUUCAGAUUUUUUCAAAAAUCAUUUUAGUAAAAAAAUCAUUUUUUUUCAUCAAAAUGAGAAUCUAUUUUCAACGGCUUUUAUCAAAAUCCAUUUUUUUAUCACUCAUACAAAAAAAUCUCUAGAUUUUUUUCAAAAAAAAUCCAUUUUUUCAAAGCUGAAACAAACAGGCCCAUAAUAAGCUCUUACACUAUCCACCACUUUUAUGAACCAUUGGAUUAAGCAAUUUCACAGAUCUUAUAGUAAACCAUAUGUAUACUACUUUUCCUCUCUUAUUUCAAAAUUAAAAUAAAAACUCUCUCUCUCUCUCACUCUCUCUAAAUCAAAACCAUUGUAGUUGAACCAGAAAGGUGUGAAGAACAAAGUUUAAAAAAAAUAUAGAUCUGAGUUGAGAGAAGGAACGUGAGAGGAGGAAGGUCACCGAAGAAGCUCGCCGGAAGAGGGAGUCUUGUGGCGGGGAGAGAGAACACACACACACACACACAUAGAGAGAGAGAGAGAUCUACAAUGCGUCCACAGAAGCAUCUGAGUUGAGAGAUGGUGUGUGAGAGGAAGGUCAACGGAGAAGCUCGUCGGAGGAGCAUGUCUUGUGGCUCGGAGAGGAGAAAACACACAUAGAGUGAGAGAAAUCUACAAGACCGUCUAUAUGAAGGUGUUCAUGGCGGGGCUGAGGGUGGAGAGUCUGCCAGAGUUGGGGAGGAGCUUUAAAAGGGGUUGUGAAAAUUAUACCAUGUGAUGGGUACUAGCAGUAAUUGUGUAGGUAGAUAAAUCCAAAGGCUAAAACUAUGUGCAUCAUACACCAUUUGUCUAACUUUUGCAUGUUAGUAGUCGCCUAUAUAACAAUACUUAUAGUUCCACGUAAAGCGUUAGAAAACAACAGGACUUUUGACAAGAUAACUGGGCAAGGCCAAGCCAAAGGAAAUAUCUAUAACUAAAGUCUACAACCCUUUUGCAAUACCAACAAUUAUGUCAUGGAUACCUGCUAGAGGAUUAAUGUUGGCUAAUUUAUAUAACCGGGCAGUUUCAAGUUGAAUUCUCUCCUGCAAGAAGACAAUAUAGAAAUCUUGUCAAUUGAAAAAAAUAAAUAAAUAAUCAUUGGACAGAGGAUAAAGUGCCAAAAUGCUAACAUCGUACGUUGGAAUCCUCAAAUAAAAAAUGAUUUUGAAUUGAUUUAGAAAUCAAACUUGAUAUUUAAAAUCAAGUCUUAUAAUGGUAUCACUUUCUGUUAUAUUGGAAAGGCUAUUCAAUAAGGGUAAAUGGUCAGUCUUAAUAAUUAAAUUAAAUCAAAUCAAUUCCCAUGAAUACCUACCAUAUUCAAUAGGAUUUGCACGAGAAAAUAAAUCAAUGAGAUUUUAAAAAUUAAAUCAUUGCUUUUUAAAAACAUCGUAUUGCUAUAUGUUUUCAAGAUAAUUACACGUGAAAAUGAAAGGAAGGCAGGCAACAAGCAUUUCUUAUCUUUUAUCAUUUCAAACACAAAAUUUGAUUUACAAAUGAAACCAAAUCCCAUUUCUCAGCAUUUCAAAAUCCAAACACAAUCUAACAUGAGUACUGGCAUCAUAAUUCCAUCAAACAAUAUAGUUGAGCUCAUUCAAUUUCCUAGUUGCACAGAGUAGGAAUUAUGAUGCUAAAUAAAAAAGAAUUCAUUGUUUAAAUUACCAGGAAAUAUCUCAAAAAAGAAUACCAGUGGUAAUUAUAAAAUAUAUUUUUUUGGAAAAAGUAAUACUUAUAGAAAUCAUAAUAAAUACCUGAUCCCCAGCAUACUGUUUUUGGAUAGCCUUUACUUGAGGUUGCAAAGAUCGCAUUGCCAAGCCAGAUUCUACCUGAAAACAGUCGCACAAAAGUUUUUCUAACUGAAUCAUGAUGAAAACAACAUAAGGAAGAAAACAGCCAGUUAAAUGUCAAAGUCAAUAAUCACCAUUUCACGUCCACGUGUAUAAAAAAAAAAAAGAGCACAGCUCAUAUUGAUCAUUUUCAGCUAUUAAAAACAAGUGAAACAAACACAAUCCGAAAACGACAAACCUGUUUUUUUGUCAACGGAAAUGUGGCAGCUUUUACAAGAACCGUAAGCAUUAUAAUUGCAAAACCAUAAGCAUAUGGCACAUGCAAAGUAGAAAGUCCAUCCUUGAGUACCUGAAAAGGAUACAAUACUUCCCUUAGAUAAUGCAUGACGGUAGAAAUAAAUCACAACAAGUUCAUAACUUAUAUAAGAAAGCGAACUACAAGAAACACGAAUCCGAAAAUACAAUGCUCUAUGAAAUUGCUUAUCAUUUAUUGCUAAUUCGUUAUGCAAAAUAUAUAACUUUAAAGUUGAUCCAAAGCAGCAACAACCAGUAUGAGAAACCAGUGAAAUUUUGCAUAUGGUGAUUUUCUCAAGUGACAAGUACUAUAACCGAUUCUUCAAAACAAAAGUACUACAGUAUAACAGGAAAAAACCAUUAACAAGAACCCUACCUAGUACCUACCACCACCAAUAGGUUCAAAAUAUAGAAAGCUACAACUAUAACUAUAAUUUCAUUUUCAUCCACCCCAAACACACAAAAAUUCCUUAUAUUCAUUGAACUAGGUUUCGUCGAGUACGAUGAUAACUCAAAUUAAAAUAACAGCAUCAAUUUUUGCAAUCAAUAGAAUCAAAAUAAAAUUAAAAAAAAAAGUUGAAUAAAAAGUUUGAGAAACCAAUAAUACCUUGAGAAUAGUCUCCAUAUAAUUGGUAAUUCCAGAAAACCAAUCGUUGUUCUGCUUGGCGGUGGAGGUGGUGGUGGUUACCACCGUAUCAGAAGACGAAACAGCAGCAUCAGCAAUCGUAUAAAGCAAACCUUCCGCUCGAUUAUACAAUUCCCUAAUAACGAAUUCAGCAUCUUCCGGUUCGGGUAAAAAACCGGGUUGAAAUCCGAAUCGGGCAACGGAAAGUGAACCGCGAAGAAAGCGUUUGGUGGAGGGUGGGAAGGUGUGGGAGUGAGGUCGAAGUGGAAAAUGUGUUGUGGUCCGGUUUGCGAACGGAGUAGAGAGUAUAGUCGGUGUGCAAGGUAAUAGAGCCGCCAUUAGUUGGCUUGGAAGCGAGCCGGUUUAAUAAAAAAAACACUAAUUACCGAACCGGUUGUUUGAUAGGGGCGUUGUAAUAAGUGUAGUAUAAUAAGCGGUGU
Molecule: long non-coding RNA, 32649 nt
Filed under: Trifolium pratense (red clover)
Lineage: Eukaryota; Viridiplantae; Streptophyta; Magnoliopsida; Fabales; Fabaceae
Description: long non-coding RNA (TPRA_LNC003104)
Source: RNAcentral